GGACUAUAUAAUAUUGGAAUUCAUCAGCAUUUUGUCAAUCUUGAUGUUCCACACAAAUUGACUUGCCGACUUCUAUGAGUAAUCAUGAUGAAGAUGCAUGUAUUGUUUAUGGCGAUGGUGCUUUACAUGCUCUUGACAGCAAGUGACACGACCAGCAUUCACGAUACAGACGGCACCCACGACACCAUUGGAGGGGUUGAUGUCAUCAUAAUAGACGGGGUUCCUCAGCCCACUAACAAAAAAUGAAAAACAUUCGCCAUUUCUUCACAAGGAGAAUAUGUGCAUUCUUGAUAUUGAAUAAUAUUUAAAUGAAGCUGUGAUCUUCACUUAAAUUCUAUUCAAUAUCGAUAUUGCACAUACAGAAUGGUCCAAAAAUGUAUACACUCUUUGACAGUGAAUAAUUUAGUAAAUAACAGGCAGUCCGUUUCAGACGGCCUCUGGAUAACUUUCAUUUAUUGGAUAGAGCAAACAAUAUAAAAGUAAGAAAAAAACAGGCUAUUGCCCAAAACUUUGUCUAUUUCUAAAUUUUGUAUCAAAUCGUCCAAAUAUCAAGUAGGUUGAGUCUAUUUUGAAAGACAUAUCUCCCAAUUUUGAACAAUCUGUCCAAUUCAGACCGAUGUAGCAUCGUUGACGCUACAUAAUACCCAACGCCACUGAUACGGAGUCCAACAUCGUUCCGUAUCUCGGGCAGUGAAUGCACUUUGAGCUAAACAACGUAACUCGACCACAGUUCAAACUGUGAUCAGAUAAAAAAAAGAGAAAAUAUUUUUCGGCAUGAACUGUUCAUAGCUUGUGUAUUAGUAUGCUACAUCGCUCGAAGGAGUCGCUCAAGCUAAGCUACUGCUUAGUAGUUAUAAACUAUAAAGUAGUAGAAGUAUAAGCUAUACAUUAGUAGUUAUAAGUUAUAAACCAUAAGCUACUGCUUCCUUGCAUGCUACUCAUGCCACACCACCUUUUGACAACACAUCGAAAUGCAAUAACAAUAUUUAUGUCUGUGUGUUAUUUUGUCCUGUUUACGGUAACUAUCAAUAUCAGUGUAUACAUUUUUCUGUCCUCUCUGUAUUAUUAUCUACUUUAGUAGUAUCUAUUAGUAUCUAUUUUGAAGAGACAAUAAAGCAAUUUCAAUUUCAA
Long non-coding RNA from Nilaparvata lugens (brown planthopper), 1131 nucleotides. RefSeq lists it as uncharacterized. NCBI's taxonomy places the organism in Eukaryota, Metazoa, Arthropoda, Insecta, Hemiptera, Delphacidae. The record is from RefSeq and is a predicted model, not a curated record. The transcript is spliced from 2 exons.